AGCAGCCGCGGUAAUUCCAGCNCCAAUAGCGUAUAUUAAAGUUGUUGCAGUUAAAAAGCUCGUAGUUGAAUUUCGGGAUUAGUACGUUGGUCGUGCCUUCGGUACGUACUGGUGUUACUGAUUCCUACCUUCUGACGAACCAUCAUGUCAUUAAUUUGGUGUGGCGGGGAAUCAGGACUGUUACUUUGAAAAAAUCAGAGUGUUUAAAGCAGGCUCGCGCUUGAAUACAUUAGCAUGGAAUAAUGAAAUAGGACGUUGACCCUAUUUUGUUGGUUUCUAGGAUUGACGUAAUGAUUAAUAGGGAUAGUUGGGGGCAUUAGUAUUCAAUUGUCAGAGGUGAAAUUCUUGGAUUUAUUGAAGACUAACUACUGCGAAAGCAUUUGCCAAGGAUGUUUUCACUAAUCAAGAACGAAAGUUAGGGGAUCGAAGACGAUCAGAUACCGUCGUAGUCUUAACCAUAAACUAUGCCGACUAGGGAUCGGAUGAUGUUAUUUUUAAUGACUCA
Molecule: ribosomal RNA, 505 nt
Filed under: uncultured Glomeromycotina
Lineage: Eukaryota; Fungi; Glomeromycota
Description: SSU rRNA
Rfam family: Eukaryotic small subunit ribosomal RNA
Source: RNAcentral